This 402-nucleotide ribosomal RNA is filed under the name uncultured bacterium. RNAcentral describes it as "bacterial SSU rRNA". It matches the Rfam family "Bacterial small subunit ribosomal RNA", at positions 355 to 774 of the family's 1533-position model. The record is from RNAcentral.
UGGGGAAUAUUGGACAAUGGGCGCAAGCCUGAUCCAGCCAUGCCGCGUGAGUGAUGACGGCCUUAGGGUUGUAAAGCUCUUUCGCACGCGACGAUAAUGACGGUAGCGUAAGAAGAAGCCCCGGCUAACUUCGUGCCAGCAGCCGCGGUAAUACGAAGGGGGCUAGCGUUGUUCGGAAUCACUGGGCGUAAAGGGUGCGUAGGCGGGCAAUUAAGUCAGGGGUGAAAUCCCGAGGCUCAACCUCGGAACUGCCCUUGAUACUGGUUGUCUUGAGUCCGGAAGAGGUGAGUGGAACUGCGAGUGUAGAGGUGAAAUUCGUAGAUAUUCGCAAGAACACCGGUGGCGAAGGCGGCUCACUGGUCCGGAACUGACGCUGAGGCACGACAGCGUGGGGAGCAAACA